UAAGAACCUGCCCCAGAAGUUACUUGUGAUUUCUGAUUCACAUCUUUUUCAAGUCUCAGGGAGGGGAAGUAAUUCGGCAUCUAAAGCAAAUUUUUCUAUUGUUGAUAAAGUUUCCAGGAGGAAUAAAACCUCUUCCUCGCCUGGCUCUGCCGGUGUUCUUUUAAGAGGCAGGUUCAAUUUCACUUCAUAAAACAAUUCUCAAUAGUUAAUGCAAAAUUCAAUAUCUACUGAAUGGAAGAUGUAAGAAAUCAUGUAAACAGAUACUAUCACACAAAGGGAAUAGGAAUAAUAAGGAAUUGGAGGAAUAAUGAUCUUCAGCUGGCAGUUUCAUCAUCAAGAACAGUUGCAUACUUGAAUCUACCUGACAUAAGAAGCGAUUGAAUAUGACAUUGUUGACAAGGAUCAAGGAUUUAAAGAGGGUAUAUGUAUUCAACCUAGGCAUCAAAAAAGUCGGAAUCAAGAGAUAGUUUAAUGGAUUGUACCAUGUGCUGACAGUUGUGCAGAAAAACUUGAGAGAUUUUCAUAAUUUUGAAGACUGUAUUCUUGGCAUAAUGGCAUCUACAAAAUAAUUCCAAGCCUUAGAGGAAAAUUACAUCACAGGCAUCAUGCAGGAAUAGAUUUAUAUCCUAUUCCACUCAAAUAAGCAAAUAAUUGCACGUAUCCUAUACAACUGAAUAUGGAUAGAAUUGAGGGAUGUCGUACCUAGUUGACUUGGAGAGGAAAUAAUUGAAAUGAUGGAGAAAGCUCUCACAAUCAGAAAUGGGUGAUUUGAAACAAUGUGCUUCAGCUUCAUAGGUAUCAAUGGCAGAUAACGCAAACAAACUGAAGACAAGGUAUCUUGAGGAGUGUUUUUAUUGAUUAUGUUCAAUG
This is a long non-coding RNA of Coccinella septempunctata (seven-spotted ladybird), 870 nucleotides long. RefSeq lists it as uncharacterized. The transcript is spliced from 3 exons. The record is from RefSeq and is a predicted model, not a curated record. NCBI's taxonomy places the organism in Eukaryota, Metazoa, Arthropoda, Insecta, Coleoptera, Coccinellidae.